Molecule: non-coding RNA, 174 nt
Filed under: Clostridium cadaveris
Lineage: Bacteria; Bacillati; Bacillota; Clostridia; Eubacteriales; Clostridiaceae
Source: RNAcentral
UUAUAUAUGAAUGAUAUUGGUCAUUAAAAGGAAGAUGGAUGAGAUUUCCACACAGUACCGCUACUGUAAUUAGGGAGUAUUGAUUAAUUUAUGUCACUGAGUUUUUGACUUGGGAAGGCUUAAUUAAUAUUAUGAUCUAUAAGUCAGGAUACUUACCAAUAUUAAAGAUAUCGA